GGGGAUGUAGCUCAAUGGUAGAGCAUCGCCCUUUUAAGGCGGUGGUUGAAGGUUCGAGCCCUUCCAUCCUCA
This 72-nucleotide transfer RNA is filed under the name Ignavibacteriota bacterium. Its description in RNAcentral is "Ignavibacteriae bacterium (groundwater metagenome) tRNA-Lys". It matches the Rfam family "tRNA". Rfam says of the family: Transfer RNA (tRNA) molecules are approximately 80 nucleotides in length. Lineage: Bacteria; Pseudomonadati; Ignavibacteriota. The record is from RNAcentral. RNAcentral also lists the same sequence under 2 other names.